GUCAGCAUUUGCUGUCCACUUCAUUCAGUCCUAUUUCGUCCUAAAGUGUGAUCCAACCGUUGAAGAUUUGUACAUAGAGCCAUGUGUAAUUGCUAGCAGUGCAGCAAUGUGUGAUCCAUCAAGAGCAGCUUGGAUAUACUGGGAUAAGAAGAGUUUGGAGUCAUGAAAGAAUAGCGUAUGAGGAGCAAAGCAGGUUUCCCAUUGGCCUUCUUAGUCUCUCAUGGAGGUGGUUUUGAAGAACCAUCUUUUUGAGAAUAACAUAUAAAUAAAAUCAAUGACAAAUUCUCAGAGUAAAGCACUGAGCAAAUUUUUCCAAUGACUAUGGUUGGAAAUAAAGCUAAUGUGGACAUUGCAGUUAGAUAACUCUUGAAUAAGGACCACAGCU
RNAcentral lists this long non-coding RNA (385 nucleotides) under Homo sapiens (human). Its description in RNAcentral is "non-protein coding lnc-SLC39A6-5:1". Lineage: Eukaryota; Metazoa; Chordata; Mammalia; Primates; Hominidae. The record is from RNAcentral.